Molecule: ribosomal RNA, 253 nt
Filed under: uncultured bacterium
Lineage: Bacteria
Description: partial 16S ribosomal RNA
Rfam family: Bacterial small subunit ribosomal RNA
Source: RNAcentral
CACGUAGGGCGCAAGCGUUGUCCGGAAUUACUGGGCGUAAAGUGUGCGCAGGCGGCUUCGCAAGUCGAGUGUGAAAUCCCCGAGCUUAACUUGGGAAUUGCGCUCGAAACUACGGAGCUGGAGUGUGGCAGAGGAAGGUGGAAUUCCACGUGUAGCGGUGAAAUGCGUAGAGAUGUGGAGGAACACCGAUGGCGAAGGCAGCCUUCUGGGCCAACACUGACGCUCAUGCACGAAAGCGUGGGGAGCAAACAGG